CAAGUCGAACGCGAAAGUUCCCUUCGGGGAACAAGUAGAGUGGCGCACGGGUGAGUAACACGUAGGUAAUCUACCUUUGGAUGGGGAAUAACAACCGGAAACGGUUGCUAAUACCGCAUAAUGCAGCGGCACCUAAUGGUGACAGUUGUUAAAGCGGGGGAUCGAAAGACCUCGCGUCUGAAGAGGAGCCUGCGGCGGAUUAGCUAGUUGGUAAGGUAAUGGCUUACCAAGGCGAUGAUCCGUAACCGGCCUGAGAGGGCGGUCGGUCACACUGACACUGACAUACGGGUCAGACUCCUACGGGAGGCAGCAGUCGGGAAUUUUGGGCAAUGGGCGAAAGCCUGACCCAGCAACGCCGCGUGAAGGAUGAAAUCCCUCGGGAUGUAAACUUCGCAAGAACGGGAAGAAUAAGUUGGUGUGAAUAUCACCAGCGAUGACGGUACCGUUUGUAAGCUCCGGCUAACUCCGUGCCAGCAGCCGCGGUAAUACGGGGGGAGCAAGCGUUGUUCGGAUUUACUGGGCGUAAAGGGCGCGUAGGCGGCCACUGCAAGUCGGUUGUGAAAUCUCCGGGCUUAACCCGGAAAGGUCAAUCGAUACUGCAGGGCUAGAGUGCAGAAGGGGCAACUGGAAUUCUCGGUGUAGCGGUGAAAUGCGUAGAUAUCGAGAGGAACACCUGCGGCGAAGGCGGGUUGCUGGGCUGACACUGACGCUGAAGCGCGAAAGCUAGGGGAGCGAACGGGAUUAGAUACCCCGGUAGUCCUAGCCUUAAACGAUGAAUGCUUGGUGUCUGGGGUUUUAUAGUCCCCGGGUGCCGUC
This 816-nucleotide ribosomal RNA is filed under the name uncultured Bacillota bacterium. RNAcentral's name for it is "bacterial SSU rRNA". It matches the Rfam family "Bacterial small subunit ribosomal RNA", at positions 58 to 850 of the family's 1533-position model. Lineage: Bacteria; Bacillati; Bacillota. The record is from RNAcentral.